Molecule: long non-coding RNA, 739 nt
Organism: Cinclus cinclus
Lineage: Eukaryota; Metazoa; Chordata; Aves; Passeriformes; Cinclidae
Exons: 3
Source: RefSeq, a predicted model, not a curated record
GGGUUUGCAACAGCACAGAGCCCUCAGCACCAGAUGCUGAAGGGCAGAGAGUGAACAUGCUGUCCAUGGCUGUGUUGGGUUUGAGAGUCCUGCUGGCAAAGAGCAUCGCCUUCAACACCCUCCUGAGUAUCAAGUUGUUCCUUCUCUGAGUCAUGGGGAAUGAAGGCAAGAGGAGCCCGAGGAAGAGCAGGAAAGAACGUGAACCAGCAGCACAAGGGGCUGGAACAAGCAGGGCCAGAGCAGCUGACAGAGACCACCCAGGACACAAGGCAGCACCUUCCCCUGAAGACAUUGAACACUGGUCACUCCUGCCUGGCCAGCUGAUUUACACUGAAGAGUUUUAAGUGCUUUUGCUGUUUGCUCUCCUCUGAGACCUGACGGGAGUGCAUUUAUCCUCAUCCUCCUGCUAAGCAAUGUCCCCAUUCUCGUGGCAUUUGCACACAAGUGUCCCAGCUGCUUCAAUAGCUUUGAGAACUCCAAUGCUCUCUCUAGGUACGUGGCCUUUCAAAAGCACCUUUCCCAGGCAUGUUGUGGUACUGCCUGUGCAACUGCAGUAGUACUGCUGAGGGAAUUCAAGCCCAGCAGUUGCCAUUUGGAGCUUUGGCUUUUAGAUGGAUUUCAUAAGUGAGUACCGUAGAUGAGAAGAGCUGUGUAGGAUGGGAAGUGAUGUCAUUCAACCCCCUAAUGUUCAUUUCUUUACAAAGCCUGUAUUUCUUCUGCCAGAUGUAUCGUAUGAGCA